RNAcentral lists this ribosomal RNA (474 nucleotides) under uncultured Allobrachymonas sp. RNAcentral describes it as "bacterial SSU rRNA". It matches the Rfam family "Bacterial small subunit ribosomal RNA", at positions 901 to 1382 of the family's 1533-position model. The record is from RNAcentral. Lineage: Bacteria; Pseudomonadati; Pseudomonadota; Betaproteobacteria; Burkholderiales; Comamonadaceae.
UUAAAUGAAUUGACGGGACCGCACAAGCGGUGGAUGAUGUGGAUUAAUUCGAUGCAACGCGAAAAACCUUACCUACCCUUGACAUGUCCGGAAUCCCGAAGAGAUUGGGAGUGCUCGCAAGAGAACCGGAACACAGGUGCUGCAUGGCUGUCGUCAGCUCGUGUCGUGAGAUGUUGGGUUAAGUCCCGCAACGAGCGCAACCCUUGCCAUUAGUUGCUACGAAAGGGCACUCUAAUGGGACUGCCGGUGACAAACCGGAGGAAGGUGGGGAUGACGUCAAGUCCUCAUGGCCCUUAUAGGUGGGGCUACACACGUCAUACAAUGGCCGGUACAGAGGGUAGCCAACCCACGAGGGGGAGCCAAUCCCACAAAGCCGGUCGUAGUCCGGAUCGCAGUCUGCAACUCGACUGCGUGAAGUCGGAAUCGCUAGUAAUCGCGGAUCAGCAUGUCGCGGUGAAUACGUUCCCGGGUCUU